AACGAACGCUGGCGGCAUGCCUAACACAUGCCAGUCGAACGAGACCUUCGGGUCUAGUGGCGCACGGGUGCGUAACGCGUGGGAACCUGCCCUUAGGUUCGGAAUAACUCCCCGAAAGGGGUGCUAAUACCGGAUAAUGUCUUCGGACCCAAGAUUUAUCGCCUUUGGAUGGGCCCGCGUUGGAUUAGCUAGUUGGUAGGGUAAAAGCCUACCAAGGCGACGAUCCAUAGCUGGUCUGAGAGGAUGAGCAGCCACACUGGGACUGAGACACGGCCCAGACUCCUACGGGAGGCAGCAGUGGGGAAUAUUGGACAAUGGGCGGAAGCCUGAUCCAGCAAUGCCGCGUGAGUGAUGAAGGCCUUAGGGUUGUAAAGCUCUUUUACCCGGGAUGAUAAUGACAGUACCGGGAGAAUAAGCUCCGGCUAACUCCGUG
Molecule: ribosomal RNA, 433 nt
Filed under: uncultured bacterium
Lineage: Bacteria
Description: partial 16S ribosomal RNA
Rfam family: Bacterial small subunit ribosomal RNA
Source: RNAcentral